RNAcentral lists this ribosomal RNA (253 nucleotides) under uncultured bacterium. RNAcentral's name for it is "partial 16S ribosomal RNA". It matches the Rfam family "Bacterial small subunit ribosomal RNA", at positions 524 to 776 of the family's 1533-position model. The record is from RNAcentral.
UACAGAGGUGGCAAGCGUUGUUCGGAAUUACUGGGCGUAAAGGGCUUGUAGGCGGCCAACUAAGUCAGACGUGAAAUCCCUCGGCUUAACCGGGGAACUGCGUCUGAUACUGGAUGGCUUGAGAUUGGGAGAGGGAUGCGGAAUUCCAGGUGUAGCGGUGAAAUGCGUAGAUAUCUGGAGGAACACCGGUGGCGAAGGCGGCAUCCUGGACCAACACUGACGCUGAGGAGCGAAAGCCAGGGGAGCAAACGGG